GGCCAGUCUUCAAUCUAAGGCUCGAUCAGACGAUGCAGAGAUCCUUGCGAUGCUGAUCGAACGAUCGAGAAGCUGUUGGAGUCCUGAUUGAGAUGCAACUCCGAUGUUGAUUGGGUUUGAGGGCUUUAAAGGGCUCUGUGGACUAACAGAGCGCAGUGUGUGGCGUGGUGUGUUUGGCCAAGUACCCAGAGCAGCAGUAGAUCGAGAAGAGCCGUCAGAGAGCAGAGGCAGGGAUGCUUCAGGCAGACUAUUAGGCAGCAGACAGCAGAGAUUCAGAAAGUCUUCCUAGAGAGAGCUUUUAUGAGAGAGAACU
This 313-nucleotide long non-coding RNA is filed under the name Elaeis guineensis (African oil palm). Its description in RNAcentral is "long non-coding RNA (EGUI_LNC074609)". The record is from RNAcentral. Lineage: Eukaryota; Viridiplantae; Streptophyta; Magnoliopsida; Arecales; Arecaceae.